UGUCCAUAUAACAUGCUGGAAAAUAUCAUCUGGCUUGAAGUAAGCUUAAAGAACUUCCAGGCAUCUUAACAAAAGAGUCUUAUAUCCUGAGACAAAUGGAAUUUAUCCAGUUGUCUCCGAGUGUUUCUAGAACAUCAUCCUUUGCUGACCUAGGUGUGGAAGCAGGAGUGAGGCUGGGGAUGGUUGGCAUUUCCCAAAUCCCAGAUUCUGGCAGUGGCCCUUCUAAGUGGCCCCUUCUCAACCUCAGGGUCUGAGAAGCAGCUGAUGUAGGUGGCACUCAUCAUUCUCAACUGAGGACAAACUCCUGCCAGAUAUUCCACAGACCCUGCUCACAGUGUCUGGCACGUGAUGGGGACUUCAUAAAUACCUCUUGGGUUGGUGUGGAGUUUCAGGAGGGGAGGACGCAGAUGUCAUUAUUUUCAUGGAAUGUGGAGACAGAGAGAGAAUGCAAACAGCUCACCGGCUCCUUUUUGCUCCAUUGGCCAAUGGCUGGGUGAUUUUGAGUGAGUUCAUUUUUCCUCUCUGGCCCACAUUUCCAGAGAGGGUGACAUUACCUGCUUCUCUUUACAAAAGACCUGUUAUGAACACCUUCUGUAAUGGUGUAAACACAAAGGCCAUGACGUCAAACACACACUGAUAAAGAAAUCUUCCUUGCAUCAAUUACCUAGCUCCCUACCAGGCUUUCUGCAUACGGUGCCUUCGCAGAUACCCUGUGGGUCAUUACCACUCCAGUUGGAAGAUGAGGAAACUCUGAGAUCUUAUCAUUAAUUAUGUAAUUAUUCAGCACACAGAGAGAUCCUGACAUUUUGCUCAGUUUUCUGGGAGGUGGCAGGGGAUGAGUUGGGGAACUGUCCUAACAAUCUUGUUGGCUGACAGCAAUGCUCCCAAUUAAGUUUAGCUCAGGUUGUGCUGGGCAUAGCUGCACCCACCCAAAUUCACAGGAGGUUCCUGAAAAGUGGAACUCAUUCCCCCCAAACGCUUCGCACUACCCUCAUUCCUGGGAAAUGACCAGAAUGUUCUGGAAUGGACCCGCUUGGGAUGUCUGGAUUGAACUAAAGCAGCCCAUUUCGGUGCCAACUGGCCACAGGGUUUGGGCAACUCCAAUGACUUCAUCCUCUUUGCUGGCUUGAAGAAACAGAGAUAAUGAUACUUUCCCAAGGCUGGGGCUGGGUGCAUCUUAAUUUGUGAGUGUUUGUAAGUGGCUUUGAAGAUGGCAAAUGUUAUUUAACGCUAAGUAGUAUUAUUUAUUGUGGUUCCAAACGCUGUUUCUCCUCCCCAUUGUCAGGCUACAAAACAAUAAGGGAAAUGGUAAAAGGGCCUCUGAAGUAUCCAAACAUCCACAAAUUAGGUAACGUUGGCCUGAGCUCUGUGAUGGUAUCUGCAAACCUAGCAUUAGCUUCGAAGCAUUUUUGUGUGGGAGGCACUCGCCUAAUUUGCACUUAAGACAUGCCAGCAGCAGGCCCUGGCACAGGCUUGGCACACACGGGUGAUGCAAGUGCUCUGUGGACAGAACGCUUGGCUGUGUUCUCUUUGAGAUGCAAAUGAGGCGCUGGAGGAGCCCCUUGUCCUUUCAUGUCUCGCACUUAAUAGAAGGGAAUUAACAUUCAUUGAGUCCUCCUGUGUGCCAGACACUUUUAUGAACGUGAUCUCAUUUAUUCCCACAACAAUCCGGGGAACUAGGUCUGAAUGUUCCUAUUUUAUAGGUGAGGAAACUGAGGCUCAUGGAAGUGAAAUAAUUUGCCUGGAUCAUAUUAAAGGCUGAGCUACAACUGGCAUCCAGGACUGCCUGGCUGUAAAAGCCAUGCCCUUUUGUUAUAUUGAACUGUAGAAAACAUACCGUACUCCUCCUUCAUACCCUAAAUGCCUGGUCAAGUUGCCCCAAUUCCCUGCUAGAAUUUCUUCUGUGUCUUUCUUUUGCCUUUAGGCAACAGAUCAGUAUCCUACUGUAGCCUUGAGCAAUCUGGCUCUGGGUCCCUCUCCAGCUCCAUCCAACCCCAUCCUCCUUGAUUUCAGUGCUUUGAUCAUGCCACAACCUCACAUCUCUGAGCUUCUCCCAUAAACUGCC
This 2065-nucleotide long non-coding RNA is filed under the name Marmota monax (woodchuck). Lineage: Eukaryota; Metazoa; Chordata; Mammalia; Rodentia; Sciuridae. The record is from RNAcentral.